GGCCCAGCGCUGCCUCCUCAGCCACCAGCAGUGUGGCUGCUACGCAGGUGAGGAAGAUGAGGGUGAGCAGGCCAAAGAGGCACUCCUCCUGGGUGCCCAGGCAGCCCCCAAGACUGAUCAUGAAGGCAUAGACAGAGUAGGCCUGGCGACAGUGGUCCGGGUCCCGGAAGAGGUCAGAGAGCAGGGCCUCCAGUGGAGUG
This 200-nucleotide long non-coding RNA is filed under the name Homo sapiens (human). RNAcentral's name for it is "HSALNT0020564". The record is from RNAcentral. Lineage: Eukaryota; Metazoa; Chordata; Mammalia; Primates; Hominidae.